RNAcentral lists this transfer RNA (76 nucleotides) under Microbacterium phage Cece. RNAcentral's name for it is "tRNA-Pro". It matches the Rfam family "tRNA". From Rfam's summary of the family: Transfer RNA (tRNA) molecules are approximately 80 nucleotides in length. Their secondary structure includes four short double-helical elements and three loops (D, anti-codon, and T loops). Further hydrogen bonds mediate the characteristic L-shaped molecular structure. tRNAs have two regions of fundamental functional importance: the anti-codon, which is responsible for specific mRNA codon recognition, and the 3' end, to which the tRNAs corresponding amino acid is attached (by aminoacyl-tRNA synthetases). tRNAs cope with the degeneracy of the genetic code in two manners: having more than one tRNA (with a specific anti-codon) for a particular amino acid; and 'wobble' base-pairing, i.e. permitting non-standard base-pairing at the 3rd anti-codon position. The record is from RNAcentral. Lineage: Duplodnaviria; Heunggongvirae; Uroviricota; Caudoviricetes.
CAGGGUGUAGCUCAGUUUGUGUAGAGUGCUCGCCUCGGUCGCGAGAAGUCGCAGGUUCAAAUCCUGUCACCCUGAC